GGGUUAGUGGCGGACGGGUGAGUAACGCGUGAGAAUCUGCCCUCAGGAGGGGGACAACAGCUGGAAACGGCUGCUAAUACCCCAUAUGCCGCGAGGUGAAAUGAAUUUCGCCUGAGGAUGAGCUCGCGUCUGAUUAGCUAGUUGGUGUAGGUAAUGGCUCACCAAGGCAUCGAUCAGUAGCUGGUCUGAGAGGAUGAUCAGCCACACUGGGACUGAGACACGGCCCAGACUCCUACGGGAGGCAGCAGUGGGGAAUUUUCCGCAAUGGGCGAAAGCCUGACGGAGCAACGCCGCGUGAGGGAUGAAGGCCUCUGGGCUGUAAACCUCUUUUAUCAAGGAAGAAGAUCUGACGGUACUUGAU
RNAcentral lists this ribosomal RNA (361 nucleotides) under uncultured bacterium. RNAcentral's name for it is "bacterial SSU rRNA". It matches the Rfam family "Bacterial small subunit ribosomal RNA", at positions 89 to 483 of the family's 1533-position model. The record is from RNAcentral.